This is a non-coding RNA of Ictidomys tridecemlineatus (thirteen-lined ground squirrel), 4939 nucleotides long. NCBI's taxonomy places the organism in Eukaryota, Metazoa, Chordata, Mammalia, Rodentia, Sciuridae. The record is from RefSeq and is a predicted model, not a curated record.
UGCACAUACUAGGCAAGCACUCUACCACUGAGCCACAUCCCCAGCCCUCAAUGACUAUUUUUAAGUGAGCAAAUGGCAAAAAAUAAAAAAUCAUCUGAAAUAAAUAUACUACAAUGCUGCCAGUGCUUAACUCUCAGUUUUGACAGAUUGAAUGAUUUUUAUUUUUUUACUUUCCUGAAUUUCACAAAUUUGAGGAGAGUCUGUAUAUCAUUUUUGAUGACAAGAAUUUAAAAAAAACCUAGUUUUAUAAUUCGGAGCUGUUUUAGUCAUCUUUUCCACUACUGUAACUAAAAGAUGUGAGCAGAACAAUUCUAAAAGAUGAAAUUUUAAUCUGAGGGCUCAGGGUUUCAGAGGUCUUAGUUCACAUAAGGCCAUAUCCAUUUCUCAGGGCUCCAGGUAAGGCCGAUUGAUCAUCAUGGCGGAAGGAUAUGGCAGAGGGAAACAGCUCACAUGUUGAUGAGAAAGGAGAGAGAGACUCUCCUUGCCAGAUACAACUAUGUACCCCAAAGCCAUGCCCCAGUUUCCACCUCCUCUAGCCACACCCUAUCACUUCAGUUACCAGUUAACCCCAUAGGGAUUAAUUUACUAAUUAGGUUAAUGCUAUAACCUAAUCAUUUCUCCUCCAAAUUUCUUGUAUUGUCUCAUACAUGAGCUUUGGGGAGACACCUCAUAUCCAAGCCAUAACAGGGACAAAACUCAUAAACAAUAUUACUGUGUAAACUCUUUAGUGACUUCUCAUAGUCUUCCAAACCUAAAAAAUUUAAAAAAAACUAAACUUCUCAGAAAAAUCUACAUGAAAUUCUAACAAUGUAGCUAGUCCCAUAUUUCACUAUUUUUUAUCAGUGUCAAAAGGCAAUACAGAUCAAGUUUUGGCUUCAAAUAGUCCAGAUUUAAGUCCUUGUUCUGCUGUUUAGAAUCCUCAAGAUUUUAGAAGAGUUGCUUAACUUCUCUAAGUUUCAUUUUCCUUGUCUAUGAAAUAGCCCCUCCAUCACAGAAGUGUGGGAGCAUUAAGUGAUAUUAAUGCAUGGCAUUUAAAAUUAUGCUCAGUAUUAAGUUAGCUCUCGGUAAAUGUUAGUCACCUUGCUGUAAUUCAAUGUGCCUCAUUUUAUCCUGUCUCUACAUGAGCUGCUCUUCUCAGCUCUCUUGUGUUUCAGAGUUCAGAUCAUGUGUCCCCUUUUCCCACAACCUUUUCUGUCAAUUGGACACAAUUAUGCUUCAUCAGAGCCCCUUACUUUUCUCUAUCUUAGUAUAAUUUUACUAAUUAUAAUAACAAAUUUGUUUAUACAUAUUCUUAUGUAAGCUGGAAAAUCAUAAAUAUGUUGACUUAUUUAAAUCUUAUUUGUUCUUUAAAUAUCUUAAAAUAACUUGUGAUAUUUAAUAAGUGCACAAAGUAAAUUAAGAAAUGAUUAUGAAAUGAAUAAGUGAAUAAAUGAGUUGGCAAAUCAGGCAAAGACAGAUUGAUACUGUUUUAUCUUGUAGAUAUGUUUUAUAACCCACCUGUACUUUCUGUCCAUUUGGGGUGUAGGUACUGAAUAGUAUGGAGCAAAGGAUGGGUAAUAGGUUGUGAGCUGGGUUAGGUGGUGAGUGGAUGUGGGGUAAGGAGUAUUGGUGAGUAUGCAUGUGUAAGGCAGUGGGUAAGUAAUGUGUGGGUGUUGAGAGGGAUAUAAGUACAGAAUUGAUGUGUGUUGAGGAUUGGGUAUCCAGUAGAUAAGAAGCAGAGGACCAAGAUUGGGCACGGGAUAGGAGAUAAUGAAUUGGUUUAGGGUCAGGAGCAGUAGUAAGGUGAUGUGGAAGUGAGGUCUUGAUUCUGGUGCUAGUUGUGGGGCAAGGUAUAUACAGUGAAUUGAUAUGGUUAAGCAGUAAUUAGAUAAUUGUUAGGGGGUAGAGGUAGAUAAUGAGUGUAAAGUGGGAUAUAGUUAGAAAGUGGGUAUGGCAGCUGGGUGCAGUGGCACACUUGUAAUCCUAUCAGAUCAGGAGGCUGACAGGAGGAUCGCGAGUUCAAAGCCAACCUCAGAAAUGGUGACAUGCUAAAAACUCAGUUAGACCCUGUCUCUAAAUAAAAAAUACAAAAACUAGAGCUGGGGUUUUUGUGGCUCAGUGGUUGAGUGCCCCUGAGUUCAAUCCCUGGUAUCAAAAAAAAGAAAGUAGGCGUGGGAAAGAUGUUAAAUAGGGGUUCAGAAUAGUAGGUGGGUUUGGGACAGGUUGUAGGUAGUAAUGGUGUGUGAGGUGGGUUUGGAUAGUGACUGAAGCAUCAGAUAUGGGCAUAGAGAUUGAAAAUGAACUGAGACUCACAUCUGGAGCUUGCUCACAGAUCUUGGACUUAGACCUAGACUCAAUUCUGUACGCUAAAGCUAGACUUUGGCCACAGAUUGAACCUGCUGCUUGGACUUAUGUCUUGGAACUACAAACUCUAAUGUAGGUCUAAUUUAGAUCUAAUGUAAUCUGCACCUUGAACUACCCACACUAAUGUUGAUCUGGACUUCACCUUGUACAUACAUUGGACCAGAACCACAUGCUUGGAUACUAGACAUUGAUGUGGUCUUUAAGCCUGGACCUGAACAUUUGAGUUGGACCUUGUUCCUAAAUAUUUGACAUAGAUUUUGAACUAGGACAUUGUACUAAUCUCAGAUCAUAAACUGAUCUUUAUUCUUGAACCUUGACAUGAACUUUGAAUUUGGCCUUAGACCUUGGAACUGCAAGUAUGAGGAAGUUCAUACUUCAUACCUCAGUUUGCCUAGAACCUUGGAAUAGACUUUGAUCUUGAAAAGAGACCUCUUAAUUCAGACUUGUACCUUAGACCUGGAACCUGGAACUGGACUUUAGAACUAGACUUUACAUCCACAUCUGGACAUGGUAUUGGACCCAAACCUUGGUUUUGUAACUAAGUUGUCAUCUGACCAAGAAUCUACACCUCUCUUCUGAAUCUUGACCCAGUCCUAGAUAUUGAAAGUUCAACAUAAAUUUUAUAUGAACCUAGAAACUCACCCAGAAUCUAGUCCUGAACCUAGACAUUUGUUCAGGAUCUCAGACUUAAUCUUAGACUUGCAAAUUGGGCUUUAACCGGGGUUUUCUAUCUGGACCUUGUAUCUCAGUGCUGAUCUUGGGUUUGGAGGUUGAAUUCAGGCUAGGAUUUUGGAUGUUGAAUUGGACUUGUAUUUUAUUGUGAUCUUGAACUUGACAUCAUGCUUUGAUACUAGACAUGAAUCUGACUUGAAACUUAUAAUUGAUUCUGGACCUGGACCUUGGUCUUGGGAAUCAGAAGGUAGAUCAAGACUGGACUUUAAACCAGGAUAUUGGAUCUAAUUACUGGACUUGGAUUUUAUACCCUGAGAUUGUACCUUGACUUUGCACCUUGAUUUUUCCUGUACAACUAACUUAAUAUUAGAUCUAAAAUUUGAACAUGUACCUUGACAGGUUUUGAUCUUGAAGCUGGCCAUUAAUCUUUGUGCUGAAUAUAAAUCCUAGGUUUGGCCUGAACUUUGAUUUUAGACCUUAGUUUUCUUGGGUCUUGAACAUGGAUUUCAAAUCUGAACCUUGUCCUUAAAAGUGAACAAUAAUAUUUCAACCUUGUGUCUGGAUGCUGAGGAAUAUUGAAGUGACUUUAAAUCUUGGACCUUAACCUGUAACCUUGAUCUCAGCUCUAAAUCCCAGUUUAGAACUUGAUCUUGGUCUCAGUAACCUGGAUCUUGAUCUUCAUCUAAGACUCUGGGUGUCAAAGUUGGACAUGGACUUUAGAUCUGGUUUUAGAUUUUGAACCUGAUCCUCUGACAUGGAUUUUACCUGGGCCUUGGACCCUAAUAUAUCUUCAAAUGCAUUAUGAAUAGUUCCUCACUAUAAAUUACUCAAUACCAUGGUCUUGCCUAUUGAGAUCUUCAUAACCACUAUUAUUGAAAUCAUUGACAUAACUAAUCAGCAACUGAAAAAAUUCUUUGAAGUCAUAGAUUUGUUUAUGUUUUUUCGUACACCUAAUUCAACAAUAUCUCAGCCAAUAUUUGUCUUCACUUCUAGAGAGACAAUGCAUCUUGACCUGGCUAUCCAUGAGGUACCUCAACAGCUCUACCAUCACAAAGUCUUUGCAAGAAUUAUCUCAAUUCAUUCACAAUUCUACAGAACCAUAGAACAUGGAAAGAAGUUGGCAGUAAAUUGCUGAAGUCUGUUGCAACCCUGGAGGGCAUGGUUUGCCUUAGAGCUGCAACACUGAGAGCAGCAACAAGCCACUCAAAGGUAGGGAAGAAGAAUGAGACUUUGUCAUCUAGGAUCCUCACAGCUGAAGCAGAUAAGCAUCCACUGCAGGGAUUAGCUGCUAACAUUACAAUGGGCUUUCUGGGCUACAAAGGAGGCUGGGCAUCUGGGUUUCACUACUUCCUUCACCUCCAUCCCCACUCCCACUCCCACUAUCAAUUCCUGUCCCAAGCAUACUCAUUACCUAUUCCCUUUCCCAUAUCCACUUAUAAUUUAUCCUAAGUUUCAUAUGGAUAAUUAUUUGCUUAUUGGAUCAUUCUAUGUACCUAUGCAUGUAUAUAUGCAUGAUGUAUGUAUCUACCAACCAUCUAUCCAUCUUAUGUAGCUCUUUAUCAAGGAGUCAGGAAAGGGAAAUUCAAUGUGCUUGGUUAUUCAUCUUCAUAAACUUCUUGUAAUUACUCAUUUAAAACUAAUUGUGAAUGAACCAUGGAAACUUGUAUACUGGAGGGUUUCACGUCUCACUCUGAAGAACAUUUGUUUCUUCUCUAUUCUCUUAUGUGAGUCUUGGGCAUGCACCCAGGAUAGGGGUAGGGCUGUGCUCUUACAAUUUGCUGGAGAUUCAUGUUUACUGUAUUGUGGCCAUAUGUUAUCAAUAAUAAGACCUGAUAAUACUUCCAUGUAUAAAUUACUUAUUAUUAGAAAAUGUCCUUGUGUUAUAUGAUGAUCUAUCUUAAAAACAAAUAAAUGAAAAAACUUA